This 911-nucleotide ribosomal RNA is filed under the name uncultured bacterium. RNAcentral describes it as "bacterial SSU rRNA". It matches the Rfam family "Bacterial small subunit ribosomal RNA", at positions 168 to 1088 of the family's 1533-position model. The record is from RNAcentral.
ACCGGAUAGGACGAAAGUUUAAAGGUGCUUCGGCACCACUGAUGGAUGAGCCUGCGGCGCAUUAGCUAGUUGGUAGGGUAAAGGCCUACCAAGGCGACUAUGCGUAGCCGACCUGAGAGGGUGAACGGCCACACUGGGACUGAGACACGGCCCAGACUCCUACGGGAGGCAGCAGUAUGGAAUCUUCGGCAAUGGGCGAAAGCCUGACCGAGCAACGCCGCGUGAAUGAUGAAGGCCUUCGGGUUGUAAAAUUCUGUUAUAAGGGAAGAAUGUCUUUAGUAGGAAAUGGCUAGAGUGUGACGGUACCUUAUGAGAAAGCCACGGCUAACUACGUGCCAGCAGCCGCGGUAAUAAGUAGGUGGCGAGCGUUAUCCGGAAUUAUUGGGCGUAAAGAGCUGCGCAGGUGGUUGAUUAAGUCUGAUGUGAAAGCCCACGGCUUUACCGUGGAGGGUCAUUGGAAACUGGUCAACUUGAUUGCAGAAGAGGUAAGUGGAAUUCCAUGUGUAGCGGUGAAAUGAGUAGAGAUAUGGAGGAACACCAGUGGAGAAGGCGGCUUCCUGGUCUGUAACUGACAAUGAGGCGAGAAAGCGUGGGGAGCAAACAGGAUUAGAUACCCUGGUACUCCACGCCGUAAAGGAUGAGUGGUAAGUGUUGGGGGUCGACCCUCAGUGCUGAAGUUAAGGCAUUAAGCAUUCCGCUUGGGGAGUAGGGUGGCAAGACUGAAAUUCAAAGGAAUUGAGGGGGGCCGGCCCAAGCAGCGGAGCAUGUGGCUUAAUUGGAAGCAACGGGAAGACCCUUACCAGGGCUUGACUUAUGGGUGAAGCGGGGGAGAUCCCUGUGGCCGAGAGGAGCCCAUGCAGGUGGUGCAUGGGUGUCGUCAUCUUGUGUUGUGAGAUGUUGGGUUAAGUCCC